AUGGGGAAACCACCGCCCGGAAAGUGCUUUCAAGAACUCUGGUUUGGCCUACUAGUGUCUUUUCUUUUGUGCCUUGUAUUGCUUUGCUUGAACUAUUCAACUUCAUUGGGUGCCAACAAUGGGAUCGAUCUUUCGAUGAGCAAACAAGUUCGUCCAAUUGGUGAUAUGAAGAUUAACGACACCGAAGAUUCAUGCUCCGAUCGCUACAUUUAUAUCCAUGAUGAUCUUCCUUCCAAAUUCAACAGUGACUUCCUCAUCAACUGCAAGUCUAUUUCUGCAGGGAUUAGUAGUGUAGCAUACCAAGUAUGUGUCCUGACCUUUUGAAUUUGGGUCUUGGUCCAAAAAUUGAAAACUCUGACGGGGUUUUAGCCAACGAGAGUUGGUUUGUCACAAAUCCUUACUUGUUAGAAGUCAUAUUCCACAACAAGAUGAAGAAGUAUGAGUGUUUGACAAGCAACUCCACUCUGGCUUCUGCCAUUUAUGUGCCAUUCUAUACUGGCAUGGAUGCCAGUGUUCAUUUGUGGGAUUCUAACCUCACUAUCAGAGACUCUUCAGCUAAGAAUUUGGUCAAGUGGCUUUCGGGGCAACCCGAAUGGAAGAAAAUGUGGGGCAGAGACCAUUUCUUUGUUUCUGGGAGGACUUCUUGGGAUUUUAGGAGGGUAAGAGACAAUAGUUCUGAGUGGGGUAGUAAACUCAGGUUCUUGCCAGAGUCCAUGAACAUGACUAUGUUAUCAAUGGAAGGAAGCCUUUGGAAAAAUGACAUUGCUAUACCAUACCCCACAAGCUUUCAUCCUGCAAAGCACAGUGAGGUGGUUCAAUGGCAGAACAGAGUGAGACAACAAGAAAGGCCUUACUUGUUUGCUUUUGUUGGUGCACCAAGGCCUCACCUGCAAGGUUCUAUCCGGGGCAAAAUUAUUGAUCAUUGCCAAGCAUCAACUACUUGCAAGUUUUUGCAUUGCGGUGAAAACAAUUGUCACAACCCGGUUAAUAUUAUUAGGGUGUUUCAGAGCUCAGUCUAUUGCCUGCAGCCUCGAGGGGAUUCAGACACUAGGAGGUCAGCUUUUGACGCUAUUCUGGCUGGUUGUAUUCCAGUCUUUUUUCAUCCUGGCACCGCGUUUUCUCAAUAUUUGUGGUAUUUACCAAAGAAUCAUACCAAGUAUUCCGUGUUUAUUCCGGUGAGGGAUGUAAAAGAUUUGAAAGAAGAAGGCAUCAUUGAUAAAGUCUUGCAGGGAAUUUCAAAGGAUAGGGAAUUGGCCAUGAGAGAGGAGGUUAUAAGGAUAAUACCAAAGCUGGUAUAUGCAGAUCCCGGGUCAAGAUUAGACACUCCAGAUGCAUUUGAUAUAGCUGUGCAGGGAAUUCUUGAGAGAAUAGAGAAUGUUAGAAAGGUGAUUAGAGAGGGGAGGGAUCCUAGUAUUGGUUUUGCAGAGGUUGAUGGUACUAAGUUCACAUUUCCUGAUACAGUUGACUAACUAUAGACUUGGUUGAAUGCAGUAUAUACUUUCUGAGUGGAGAUACAGAAAUUUGGGGGGAGAGGAAGAACAGCUUAUGUAGAGAAAUAAAAUAUAAAGAAAAUAUCUGAUGUUCUAUUGUUUUUAAACUUUAAAUUUAUAGAUCAUAAAUUUGUAUUCCACUAUGCGAUUAUUCUCCAUUGUUUGAUGUCGAUUGCAGAAGCUUUC
Prunus dulcis (almond) is the source of this 1676-nucleotide RNA transcript. It is a transcript of the gene named probable xyloglucan galactosyltransferase GT14, with no coding region annotated. The transcript has a single exon. Lineage: Eukaryota; Viridiplantae; Streptophyta; Magnoliopsida; Rosales; Rosaceae. The record is from RefSeq and is a predicted model, not a curated record.